UUUCAAUCAAUGAUCUGAAGUCAAGUGGGAUUACCCGCUGAACUUAAGCAUAUCAAUAAGCGGAGGA
This 67-nucleotide ribosomal RNA is filed under the name Rhizopus stolonifer. Its description in RNAcentral is "partial 28S ribosomal RNA". The stretch from base 11 to 67 matches the Rfam family "Eukaryotic large subunit ribosomal RNA", at positions 1 to 57 of the family's 3401-position model. The record is from RNAcentral. Lineage: Eukaryota; Fungi; Mucoromycota; Mucoromycetes; Mucorales; Rhizopodaceae.